AACUUUAGAUGCUAAAGUUUAGCAACUUUGAGCUGCUAAACUGCAAAACACUCUUGCUAAAACUUGCUAAAGUUGAGUUGCUAAAGUUUAGAACUUUAGCAAGUUUUGGGUUGCUAAAACUUGCUAAAAGGUGGGCUGGACACCUUAUACCCCUCAUUAUUGUCUGGCACUCCCGCACUCCCGCACGCACCCCACCCGCAUACCCCUCCC
This 210-nucleotide long non-coding RNA is filed under the name Setaria viridis. RNAcentral's name for it is "long non-coding RNA (SVIR_LNC003778)". Lineage: Eukaryota; Viridiplantae; Streptophyta; Magnoliopsida; Poales; Poaceae. The record is from RNAcentral.